UACGUAGGGUCCGAGCGUUAAUCGGAAUUACUGGGCGUAAAGCGUGCGCAGGCGGUUUUGUAAGCCAGAUGUGAAAUCCCCGAGCUUAACUUGGGAACUGCAUUUGGGACUGCAAAGCUGGAGUACGGCAGAGGGAGGUGGAAUUCCACGUGUAGCAGUGAAAUGCGUAGAGAUGUGGAGGAACACCGAUGGCGAAGGCAGCCUCCUGGGCUAGUACUGACGCUCAUGCACGAAAGCGUGGGGAGCAAACAGG
RNAcentral lists this ribosomal RNA (253 nucleotides) under uncultured bacterium. Its description in RNAcentral is "partial 16S ribosomal RNA". It matches the Rfam family "Bacterial small subunit ribosomal RNA", at positions 524 to 776 of the family's 1533-position model. The record is from RNAcentral.